ACCACCACUCUGAAUGUAGUGCACACUUAAGAAUUUAUAUGGAUCAGCGUUGAGGCUGAGACAUGUUCUUUUAUAACUUGUGACGUAGCGAGCGUUUGAGAUAUCUAUCUAAACGUGUCGUUGAGGCUAAGGCGGGGACUUCGAGUCCCUAAAUAAUUGAGUCGUAUGUUCGCGUUGGUGGCUUUGUACUCCACACAGCACGGCAUAUAGCUCCGAGGCAACUUGGGGUUAUAUGGUCAAGCGAAUAAGCGCACACGGUGGAUGCCUAGGCGGUCAGAGGCGAUGAAGGACGUGGUAGCCUGCGAAAAGUGUCGGGGAGCUGGCAACAAGCUGUGAUCCGGCAAUAUCCGAAUGGGGAAACCCACUGCUUCGGCAGUAUCCUGCAGUGAAUUCAUAGCUGCUGGAAGCGAACCCGGUGAACUGAAAUAUCUAAGUAACCGGAGGAAAAGAAAUCAACCGAGAUUCCCUAAGUAGUGACGAGCGAACGGGGAGCAGCCCUUAAGCUGGAAUGGCUUUAGAAAAACAAUCUGGAAAGAUUGGCCAUAGAAGGUGAUAGCCCUGUAUUUAAAAGGGCCACUCCAGUGAAGACGAGUAGGGCGGGGCACGUGAAACCCUGUCUGAAUAUGGGGGGACCAUCCUCCAAGGCUAAAUACUCCUGACCGACCGAUAGUGAACCAGUACC
Molecule: small RNA, 682 nt
Filed under: Xanthomonas oryzae
Lineage: Bacteria; Pseudomonadati; Pseudomonadota; Gammaproteobacteria; Lysobacterales; Lysobacteraceae
Description: bacterial LSU rRNA
Rfam family: Bacterial large subunit ribosomal RNA (bases 235-682)
Source: RNAcentral